GCAUAGGUUUUAGGGGGCUGCAGGAGAGCCCAGGCUACUAAACAGAGCACAGACGUCAAGAAACUUGGAACUUCCCCUCCGCGCUCCGGGACGCAGGCAGGGCGCUCAACGAGGGGAGGCGCCACCUACAGGACAGAGGAAGACCUGCACCCUGAUCUGGAAAAUUCGACCGCUGGGGGGUCCGGAACCGACUGGGCACCGUGUGCCCCUCCUCCUCCUCGCCGUAGACCGUUCACCUCGGGGUUCCCGAUUUUUGAGACUCCCUUACUCAGCUGGAGAGAAAAUCGUUGCCAAGCUUGCUGUACAUCCUUGGGCAGAAGACUGAAGAGGCAGGAAGCUAUCAUGUUAUGAGCAAGUGCUACAUUCCAGACACCAUGGACUAGGAACUUGACAUCAAUUCAAUUAUUUCAUGUAGUCUUUGCUACAACUCCAUGAGAGAAUAUCAUUAUUUUCACAUUAAAGGUGUGGAAACUAGGCUCAGAGAGCUUAAGAAACUUGCACAAGUCCAUCUAGGCGAUGAGUGAUAGAGAUGGUGAAACUGAGACCUAGAAAAAUAAACAAAUAUUGUGCCAGAGGUGUCAGGGUGAAUUCCUGACAAAGCCAGCACCUUCAUUUGCUUCUCCAGGCUCCAGGCCCAUGACGAAGACUUGGACUGAGAACUGGCCUCACCUGCCACCCCUCAGAACAUUCUGCAAGAACACCCUAAUGACACGUUGACAAGCUGGUGAAGCAUAGUUCCCUCUCUGUUGCAUCUGCCUCUGACACCACCACUCCUCCUAUAGUCUCUGACGUGGGCAGAUGGAGGCCUCGGCAGGCUCCGACACCGCCCGGCUGCUCAGCUAGAAGCUCUGUACACCCCUUUCUUCUGGAAACAAAAGAAUAAAAUUCCUGGGGAUCGACCACAGCAUCUUCCUUCCCCAACACGUCAAGAGCUUGUUGACAUGAACUUCAUCCCCAAUUGAAUUAGAGAUGGACACCGGGUGUCAGGAUUUCAUCCUGGUUAUUCUACACAAAAGAAAAGGCUAAGGCAGGGCGAUGAACAUGCCUGUGGUUCCACACACGGUAGAACAACAAAGGUAGAAUCAUCGGUGUCCAGGCUUCCAGCUCCAAGAUCUUCCCAUUCCUUGAGUCAUCUAGCUGUGCCGUGCCUGGGAACCACAGUGCGGCAGGAGGGGAGCCCUGGCAGGUACACUGGUUCCCUGGCUUUAGUGUAUGUGCUGCCGAAGCGAGCACGGCUCCCUGACUUUGGGCGUGAAGGUUUCUGUGACCCCACUAUUGUACAGAUGUGCAAUAACAUGUGGAUAGGCACGUGGCACAGAGUAUGUGUGCCUGUGCAGGUGCACAAAGGGGCUGUUUCCAGCUGUCUUUAUGUCGCACCCAGAGGUGAGGAACAAUCCCAAGCAAUCACCUUCCUUAGGCAAGACAGCUCUCAUGCAGUCAUUCCUCACAGGCUCAGCAGGGUUCUAUGGGGACCAACCCAGGGUGGGGGCCUCUGCUUGUUGUAUGCUGUCCCCUAAGUCAUAUGACCAUUUCCGAGACGUGCCAGAGGAAAGGCACAACAUUCGUGAUAUGAUAUUUCCAUGAUAUAUUUGUGGCAAGGUGCUAACCUAAACAUAACCGAUGCAGGCGGCCUGGGUGG
This is a long non-coding RNA of Canis lupus familiaris (dog), 1639 nucleotides long. RefSeq lists it as uncharacterized. The transcript is spliced from 4 exons. The record is from RefSeq and is a predicted model, not a curated record. NCBI's taxonomy places the organism in Eukaryota, Metazoa, Chordata, Mammalia, Carnivora, Canidae.